AAGGAGUCUAACAUCUAUGCGAGUGUUUGGGUGUCAAGCCCGGGCGCGUAAUGAAAGUGAACGGAGGUGGGAACCCCUCGGGGCGCACCAUCUACCUAUCCUGAUGUCUUCGGAUGGAUUUGAGUAAGAGCAUAGCUGUUGGGACCCGAAAGAUGGUGAACUAUGCUUGAAUAGGGUGAAGCCAGAGGAAACUCUGGUGGAGGCUCGCAGCGGUUCUGACGUGCAAAUCGAUCGUCAAAUUUGGGCAUAGGGGCGAAAGACUAAUCGAACCAUCUAGUAGCUGGUUCCUGC
This 291-nucleotide unclassified non-coding RNA is filed under the name uncultured fungus. Its description in RNAcentral is "partial contains 5.8S rRNA, ITS2 and 28S rRNA". It matches the Rfam family "Eukaryotic large subunit ribosomal RNA", at positions 668 to 961 of the family's 3401-position model. Lineage: Eukaryota; Fungi. The record is from RNAcentral.